Oncorhynchus nerka (sockeye salmon) is the source of this 1268-nucleotide long non-coding RNA. RefSeq lists it as uncharacterized. NCBI's taxonomy places the organism in Eukaryota, Metazoa, Chordata, Actinopteri, Salmoniformes, Salmonidae. The transcript has 2 exons. The record is from RefSeq and is a predicted model, not a curated record.
GCGAGCUUCAACUGGAAGCCAGUGGAGAGAGCGGAGGAGCGGGGUGACGUGAGAGAACUUGGGAAGGUUGAACACCAGACGGGCAGCGGCGUUCUGGAUGAGUUGUAGGGGUUUAAUGGCACAGGCAGGGAGCCCAGCCAACAGCGAGUUGCAGUAAUCCAGACGGGAGAUGACAAGUGCCUGGAUUAGGACCUGCGCUGCUUCCUGUGUGAGGCAGGGUCGUACUCUGCGGAUGUUGUAGAGCAUGAACCUACAAGAACGGGCCACCGCCUUGAUGUUAGUUGAGAACGACAGGGUGUUGUCCAGGAUCACGCCAAGGUUCUUAGCGCUCUGGGAGGAGGACACAAUGGAUAUCAAAUGUGAAGUGCAAUAGAACGGUACAAAGGGAUCAGGCUGGAUCCACCAGGCUAGGUUUUGCUCUGGACAUUAUAUGCAUCUAAUAAGUAAAGAACUAAGCAACAAAUAAUGUCAGUUUAAAUAUGUUUCACAUUGGGGUUAUUUGUACAGAUGAGGAGCCUGUGAACGCUGUUGCCGUCGACAGGUGAAGGUUGCUGACCGGACACUUGCCAACAUGCUAGCUAUAUUUUAAUGACUUGUUACUGAGUUUUGAACACUUGUCAAACUACUUCACUGCCUGUUCAUUGAUGAAUUGGUGACUGAAAAAGUUUGUGACAACUUGAACGAGCACUGAAAUGUAAGCAGUGGGGUUCAUGUCUUCCCCCUCUGCUCUUUUCCUCAGGUUGAAGCACAUCCCUAACAUCCAGACAGAUGUCAAGAACUUGGGAACCUCCCAGCCACCAGGAUAAUCAUCUUGUUCUUGGAGUUUAUUCACAAGGUGCUACAGAGAGAAUAUUCCAAGGACCUCCAGCGGCUUCUGACCAAUUAUCUGCCAUCUCUCCAGAGCACAGAGAAGCAAGGUCCGCUGGUGCUCUAUGUAAACCCCCUUCACUAUGGCUGUCUGUGUGAUGACAUACUGUAGCAUAUAAUCCAGGGCCACUGGUUGGAUUGGAUUUACUGUACUCACUCUAACUCAUGCCCUCUCCUCCCUCUAUAAGCUUCCCAGACUUUUAUAAAAACGAACGUGUCCAUCCCCCUGUCCCCAGGGGAGUCUGCUGGGCCAUGGAACGCUAGAGCAGCACAUCAAAACACCUGCCACCAUGUUGUCAUUUAUCAGCAGACAGUUCCCUGAGGAAGGAUGCAACCAAGGUUUUAAGAGGGCCAAAUUAAAGGGGAUGACCACCAAAUGCAAUAAAGUUUUGUAUAAAUUA